Molecule: ribosomal RNA, 449 nt
Filed under: uncultured bacterium
Lineage: Bacteria
Description: partial 16S ribosomal RNA
Rfam family: Bacterial small subunit ribosomal RNA
Source: RNAcentral
AACGAACGCUGGCGGCAGGCUUAACACAUGCAAGUCGAACGCCCCGGCAACGGGGAGUGGCAGACGGGUGAGUAACGCGUGGGAAUCUACCCAACUCUACGGAAUAACUCAGGGAAACUUGUGCUAAUACCGUAUACGCCCUUCGGGGGAAAGAUUUAUCGGAGUUGGAUGAGCCCGCGUUGGAUUAGCUAGUUGGUGGGGUAAAGGCCUACCAAGGCGACGAUCCAUAGCUGGUCUGAGAGGAUGAUCAGCCACAUUGGGACUGAGACACGGCCCAAACUCCUACGGGAGGCAGCAGUGGGUAAUAUUGGACAAUGGGCGCAAGCCUGAUCCAGCCAUGCCGCGUGAGUGAUGAAGGCCCUAGGGUUGUAAGGCUCUUUCACCGGUGAAGAUAAUGACGGUAACCGGAGAAGAAGCCCCGGCUAACUUCGUGCCAGCCGCCGCGGUAA